RNAcentral lists this long non-coding RNA (355 nucleotides) under Homo sapiens (human). RNAcentral describes it as "HSALNT0077438". Lineage: Eukaryota; Metazoa; Chordata; Mammalia; Primates; Hominidae. The record is from RNAcentral.
CUUUCAAUUAGCAAUGAUCAAGGGAACCAGAAAGCAGUGCCUAGCAUACCUUCCUCUGCUAAAUCCUGAUAAAGACAGAUAAAAUGGGGUUUUCUCCUGCCAGAGCAUCAGGACUCAGGUGCACAGAUAGGUUUUGAUUAGAGAAAGUAGAAGGACUUUGCAAUUUAUGUUACAAGAGAAAUGGAGCAGAGUCUGACUGGAGACUAACUAUGGAGAGCUGGGUCAGGGAUACCAGGGCAGUGCUUCUGAACCACUAUAGAAAGAUUCUGUGCUCUAAGUGCUUCUGAACCACUAUAGAAGGAUUUUGUGCUCUAAGUGCUUCUGAACCACUAUAGAAAGAUUCUGUGCUCCCUCU